GUACUGCUGAAGAGUUCUAAACUAGGACGAAACAGCUAUCCAGUAC
RNAcentral lists this non-coding RNA (46 nucleotides) under Trichobilharzia regenti. Lineage: Eukaryota; Metazoa; Platyhelminthes; Trematoda; Strigeidida; Schistosomatidae. The record is from RNAcentral.